GGAUAACGUUUGGAAACGAACGCUAAUACCGCAUGAUAUUAUUGAGCUGCAUGGCUUGAUAAUCAAAGGAGCAAUCCGCUGAAAGAUGGGCUCGCGUCCGAUUAGGUAGUUGGCGGGGCAACGGCCCACCAAGCCGACGAUCGGUAGCCGGACUGAGAGGUUGAACGGCCACAUUGGGACUGAGACACGGCCCAGACUCCUACGGGAGGCAGCAGUGAGGGAUAUUGGUCAAUGGGGGAAACCCUGAACCAGCAACGCCGCGUGAGGGAAGACGGUUUUCGGAUUGUAAACCUCUGUCCUCUGUGAAGAUAAUGACGGUAGCAGAGGAGGAAGCUCCGGCUAACUACGUGCCAGCAGCCGCGGUAAUACGUAGGGAGCAAGCGUUGUCCGGAUUUACUGGGUGUAAAGGGUGCGUAGGCGGCUUUGCAAGUCAGAAGUGAAAUCCAUGGGCUUAACCCAUGAACUGCUUUUGAAACUGCAGAGCUUGAGUGGAGUAGAGGUAGGCGGAAUUCCCGGUGUAGCGGUGAAAUGCGUAGAGAUCGGGAGGAACACCAGUGGCGAAGGCGGCCUGCUGGGCUCUAACUGACGCUGAGGCACGAAAGCGUGGGUAGCAAACAGGAUUAGAUACCCUGGUAGUCCACGCUGUAAACGAUGAUUACGGGGUGUGGGUGGACUGACCCCAUCCGUGCCGGA
RNAcentral lists this ribosomal RNA (693 nucleotides) under uncultured bacterium. Its description in RNAcentral is "bacterial SSU rRNA". It matches the Rfam family "Bacterial small subunit ribosomal RNA", at positions 141 to 850 of the family's 1533-position model. The record is from RNAcentral.